CAUAUAUAUAUAUUAACUUUAAUUUUUGGAAAUGCUACUCUGUUUUUAAUGAAGCUGGAGUUGGUUGCUUGUGAGUGUAAGCAUGCUAUUGUUUUGUAUUAUUGUAUGCUUCAAUGUUAUCUUGAAAAAUAUUUGUUUAAUCAUAGUUCUGUUGAGUAAAAUAAUAUUUCGUUGGUCUUGUUAAGUUGUUCUUAUUAAUUAAACUGCUGAUUAGGUGUAUUUAUGGUUCAUUCAUGCAUGGAUAUGGUUUCUUUCUUCUUCUUCUUUUCUGAAACUGGUCCCACUAAAGAUCAUUCUUUGGAUAAUAACUAAUGAUCGUGCUUUUUCCACCGUUUGAUUAAUCGAAUCAUGUCACUGGUUUUGACUUAUUGCAAGAAUGAUUUAAUUUGCAUAUUUGUAUUUUUUUUCUCAGUUUUAUAUGUUGUUUUUCAUUGAUUCAUGCAACUAUUGUCUGUUUGUAAACCUACAGUUAAAUAUAUAAUUAGGGAGGUAUUGUUUUAAAUUAUGCUGUUGUGAUU
Molecule: long non-coding RNA, 518 nt
Organism: Hibiscus syriacus
Lineage: Eukaryota; Viridiplantae; Streptophyta; Magnoliopsida; Malvales; Malvaceae
Exons: 3
Source: RefSeq, a predicted model, not a curated record